UUGGUGCUGUAACCUGUGAGGUUUGAUCGGUGCAUUUGUGUGUAUCCUCAGGGGGAUGUUGGGUUGAAAGGUGAUAAGGGUGAAGUUGGUGUAGGCGGAGCAAAGGGUGUGGCAGGCGUACCAGGAAAAAAUGGAGUUCACGGACAAAAGGGUACAAUGGGCAGAAUUGGAGCUCCUGGCUGCAAAGGUGAUCCAGGCAAUGAGGGACCAGAGGGCUACCAAGGAGAAGCUGGUGAGACCGGUCCUCAAGGAUCCAAUGG
Molecule: long non-coding RNA, 260 nt
Filed under: Oryzias sinensis (Chinese medaka)
Lineage: Eukaryota; Metazoa; Chordata; Actinopteri; Beloniformes; Adrianichthyidae
Description: lncRNA (ENSOSIG00000017518.1)
Source: RNAcentral